RNAcentral lists this ribosomal RNA (492 nucleotides) under uncultured bacterium. RNAcentral describes it as "partial 16S ribosomal RNA". It matches the Rfam family "Bacterial small subunit ribosomal RNA", at positions 29 to 507 of the family's 1533-position model. The record is from RNAcentral.
AGUGAACGCUGGCGGUAGGCCUAACACAUGCAAGUCGAACGGCAGCACAGUAAGAGCUUGCUCUUACGGGUGGCGAGUGGAGGACGGGUGAGGAAUACAUCGGAAUCUACUUUUUCGUGGGGGAUAACGUAGGGAAACUUACGCUAAUACCGCAUACGACCUACGGGUGAAAGCAGGGGAUCUUCGGACCUUGCGCGAUUGAAUGAGCCGAUGUCGGUUUAGCUAGUUGGCGGGGUAAAGGCCCACCAAGGCGACGAUCCGUAGCUGGUCUGAGAGGAUGAUCAGCCACACUGGAACUGAGACACGGUCCAGACUCCUACGGGAGGCAGCAGUGGGGAAUAUUGGACAAUGGGCGCAAGCCUGAUCCAGCCAUACCGCGUGGGUGAAGAAGGCCUUCGGGUUGUAAAGCCCUUUUGUUGGGAAAGAAAAGCAGCAGGUUAAUACCCCGCUGUUCUGACGGUACCCAAAGAAUAAGCACCGGCUAACUUCGUG